RNAcentral lists this ribosomal RNA (499 nucleotides) under uncultured bacterium. Its description in RNAcentral is "partial 16S ribosomal RNA". It matches the Rfam family "Bacterial small subunit ribosomal RNA", at positions 28 to 507 of the family's 1533-position model. The record is from RNAcentral.
GAUGAACGCUGGCGGCGUGCCUAAUACAUGCAAGUCGAGCGAACAGACGAGAGUGCUUGCACUCUCUGACGUUAGCGGCGGACGGGUGAGUAACACGUGGGUAACCUACCUAUAAGACUGGGAUAACUUCGGGAAACCGGAGCUAAUACCGGAUAAUAUUUAGCUUCGCAUGAAGCAAUAGUGAAAGACGGUUCUGCUGUCACUUAUAGAUGGACCCGCGGUGUAUUAGCUAGUUGGUGAGGUAACGGCUCACCAAGGCAACGAUACAUAGCCGACCUGAGAGGGUGAUCGGCCACACUGGGACUGAGACACGGCCCAGACUCCUACGGGAGGCAGCAGUAGGGAAUCUUCCGCAAUGGACGAAAGUCUGACGGAGCAAUGCCGCGUGAGUGAAGAAGGUGUUCGGAUCGUAAAACUCUGUUGUAAGGGAAGAACAAGUACGUUAGUAACUGAACGUACCUUGACAGUACCUGACCAGAAAGCCACGGCUAACUACGUG